AUUGAACGCUGGCGGCAGGCCUAACACAUGCAAGUCGAGCGGAUGAAGGGAGCUUGCUCCUGGAUUCAGCGGCGGACGGGUGAGUAAUGCCUAGGAAUCUGCCUGGUAGUGGGGGAUAACGUCCGGAAACGGGCGCUAAUACCGCAUACGUCCUGAGGGAGAAAGUGGGGGAUCUUCGGACCUCACGCUAUCAGAUGAGCCUAGGUCGGAUUAGCUAGUUGGUGGGGUAAAGGCCUACCAAGGCGACGAUCCGUAACUGGUCUGAGGGGAUGAUCAGUCACACUGGAACUGAGACACGGUCCAGAAUCCUACGGGAGGCAGCAGUGGGGAAUAUUGGACAAUGGGCGAAAGCCUGAUCCAGCCAUGCCGCGUGUGUGAAGAAGGUCUUCGGAUUGUAAAGCACUUUAAGUUGGGAGGAAGGGCAGUAAGUUAAUACCUUGCUGUUUUGACGUUACCAACAGAAUAAGCACCGGCUAACUUCGUG
Molecule: ribosomal RNA, 484 nt
Filed under: uncultured bacterium
Lineage: Bacteria
Description: partial 16S ribosomal RNA
Rfam family: Bacterial small subunit ribosomal RNA
Source: RNAcentral